Molecule: ribosomal RNA, 478 nt
Filed under: uncultured organism
Description: partial 16S ribosomal RNA
Rfam family: Bacterial small subunit ribosomal RNA
Source: RNAcentral
UACACUCCUGCGGGAGGCAGCAGUGGGGAAUUUUGGACAAUGGGCGAAAGCCUGAUCCAGCCAUGCCGCGUGCAGGAUGAAGGCCUUCGGGUUGUAAACUGCUUUUGUACGGAACGAAACGGCCUUUUCUAAUAAAGAGGGCUAAUGACGGUACCGUAAGAAUAAGCACCGGCUAACUACGUGCCAGCAGCCGCGGUAAUACGUAGGGUGCAAGCGUUAAUCGGAAUUACUGGGCGUAAAGCGUGCGCAGGCGGUUAUGUAAGACAGUUGUGAAAUCCCCGGGCUCAACCUGGGAACUGCAUCUGUGACUGCAUAGCUAGAGUACGGUAGAGGGGGAUGGAAUUCCGCGUGUAGCAGUGAAAUGCGUAGAUAUGCGGAGGAACACCGAUGGCGAAGGCAAUCCCCUGGACCUGUACUGACGCUCAUGCACGAAAGCGUGGGGAGCAAACAGGAUUAGAUACCCUAGUAGUCCCAUGAU